UCUCUACCUCUCUCUAUCUGGUCUUACUGCUCCAAAUUCACCAUGAUCGAUUACCCUGGACAGUCUGAAUUGUAGGGACUAGAUCCCCAAUCUAUUCAACUCUGGUCUAUCAAUUUCACCUAAUUUCUAUUUUCGAAGUAGGGGUUGUGAUUUCUGAUGCGAUUGUGGUUUUUCUUUGCAUUAAGGGGUUGCAGAGAUUGAAGAGAUUUCAGACUGUGUUCGUGGAGAGCGAGGUUGCGAAUCACCUGGGAUGAAAAAGCUAUAAGCCAUUACAACUCGUUCGUCGUGCUUGAACCUAAGACCUGGGAUGAAGCUCCUGUGGAUAACACAAACAGGUACCAUUUUGGUUUUUAUUAUUUUAAUUUUCUUUGAAGGCUCAUUCGAUAGAUGUGGGAGAAAAAUUGGAUGAUUUUUGUUGUCUAUGGCUUUUUGAUUGAAUUUUGUAUGGGUCUGUGACUUUGUGCCUAUCAUCUCUAAUCCAAGAUCCCUAUUGAAUUUUGUAUGGGUCUGUGACUCUGUGCCUAUCAUCUCUAAUCCAAGAUCCCCAAUUUCAGCACUGAGUAGGAGGCUGAAACCAUGGCAGCGAUUAAACCCAAGAAGAUCAUCAUUGAGAUCCUGAUUUCGGCCAAAUCAAUUGCAAAUUGAAGCUGCUCUUCUUGCUUUCCCUUGUACUCACCAACUUGAUUAAGCCAUCCAUCCCCAGAAAGAUGAGAUAAAAUGAAUAAUAUCAAGAAUCUAAUCAAUUUCAAUUUCGGAACUACAAAGAAGCAAGAGGACUGAGGACUCAGUACUGGACCAUGAAUAGACGCGAUCGUUGACCAAAAACAAAAAAAAUAAAAUAGAAGCAAUCGAAACUCUGAUUCCUACCCAUGGUC
Molecule: long non-coding RNA, 875 nt
Filed under: Rosa chinensis
Lineage: Eukaryota; Viridiplantae; Streptophyta; Magnoliopsida; Rosales; Rosaceae
Description: sRNA RchiOBHm_Chr3g0461061
Source: RNAcentral